CAGUCGCCGCGGUAAUACGAAGGGGGCUAGCGUUGUUCGGAAUCACUGGGCGUAAAGGGUGCGUAGGCGGAUCCUUAAGUCAGGGGUGAAAUCCCGAGGCUCAACCUCGGAACUGCCUUUGAUACUGGGGAUCUUGAGUCCGGAAGAGGUGAGUGGAACUGCGAGUGUAGAGGUGAAAUUCGUAGAUAUUCGCAAGAACACCGGUGGCGAAGGCGACUGACUGGACAAGUAUUGACGCUGAGGUGCGAAAGCGUGGGGAGCAAACAGGAUUAGAUACCCCUGUAGUCCCUGUCUCUUAUAA
RNAcentral lists this ribosomal RNA (301 nucleotides) under uncultured bacterium. RNAcentral's name for it is "partial 16S ribosomal RNA". It matches the Rfam family "Bacterial small subunit ribosomal RNA", at positions 509 to 809 of the family's 1533-position model. The record is from RNAcentral.